AGGUUCGGAAUAACAGUUAGAAAUGACUGCUAAUACCGGAUAAUGUCUUCGGACCAAAGAUUUAUCGCCUUUAGAUGGGCCCGCGUAGGAUUAGAUAGUUGGUGGGGUAAUGGCCUACCAAGUCGACGAUCCUUAGCUGGUCUGAGAGGAUGAUCAGCCACACUGGGACUGAGACACGGCCCANACUCCUACGGGAGGCAGCAGUGGGGAAUAUUGGACAAUGGGCGAAAGCCUGAUCCAGCAAUGCCGCGUGAGUGAUGAAGGCCUUAGGGUUGUAAAGCUCUUUUACCAGGGAUGAUAAUGACAGUACCUGGAGAAUAAGCUCCGGCUAACUCCGUGCCAGCAGCCGCGGUAAUACGGAGGGAGCUAGCGUUGUUCGGAAUUACUGGGCGUAAAGCGCACGUA
This 405-nucleotide ribosomal RNA is filed under the name Erythrobacter sp. A10. RNAcentral's name for it is "bacterial SSU rRNA". It matches the Rfam family "Bacterial small subunit ribosomal RNA", at positions 134 to 573 of the family's 1533-position model. Lineage: Bacteria; Pseudomonadati; Pseudomonadota; Alphaproteobacteria; Sphingomonadales; Erythrobacteraceae. The record is from RNAcentral.